RNAcentral lists this ribosomal RNA (492 nucleotides) under uncultured bacterium. RNAcentral describes it as "partial 16S ribosomal RNA". It matches the Rfam family "Bacterial small subunit ribosomal RNA", at positions 29 to 507 of the family's 1533-position model. The record is from RNAcentral.
AGUGAACGCUGGCGGUAGGCCUAACACAUGCAAGUCGAACGGCAGCACAGUAAGAGCUUGCUCUUACGGGUGGCGAGUGGCGGACGGGUGAGGAAUACAUCGGAAUCUACUUUUUCGUGGGGGAUAACGUAGGGAAACUUACGCUAAUACCGCAUACGACCUACGGGUGAAAGCAGUGGAUCUUCGGACCUUGCGCGAUUGAAUGAGCCGAUGUCGGAUUAGCUAGUUGGCGGGGUAAAGGCCCACCAAGGCGACGAUCCGUAGCUGGUCUGAGAGGAUGAUCAGCCACACUGGAACUGAGACACGGUCCAGACUCCUACGGGAGGCAGCAGUGGGGAAUAUUGCACAAUGGGCGCAAGCCUGACGCAGCCACACCGCGUGAGUGAAGAAGGCCUUCGGGUUGUAAAGCCCUUUUAUUGGGAAAGAAAAGCAGCAGGUUAAUACCCCGCUGUUCUGACGGUACCCAAAGAAUAAGCACCGGCUAACUUCGUG